GGGAAACCGGUGCUAAUACCGCAUACGAUAGCGAUGUCUGCGGACGUUGCUAUGAAAGGAGCAAUUCGCUCCAGGAGGAGCCCGCGGCUGAUUAGCUAGUUGGUGAGGUAAUGGCUCACCAAGGCAACGAUCAGUAUCCGGUCUGAGAGGACGGUCGGACACACUGGAACUGAGACACGGUCCAGACUCCUACGGGAGGCAGCAGUGGGGAAUUUUUGGCAAUGGGGGCAACCCUGACCAAGCAACGCCGCGUGGGUGAUGAAGUCUCUUGGGACGUAAAACCCUUUCGACAGGGAAGAAACCCGCAAGGGUUGACGGUACCUGUAGAAGAAGCCCCGGCUAACUCCGUGCCAGCAGCCGCGGUAAUACGGGGGGGGCAAGCGUUGUUCGGAAUUACUGGGCGUAAAGGGCGCGUAGGCGGUUCGCUAAGUCGGAUGUGAAAACUCUGGGCUCAACCCAGAGCCUGCAUCCGAAACUGACGGGCUAGAGUUCUGGAGGGGGUAGCGGAAUUCCUGGUGUAGCGGUGAAAUGCGUAGAUAUCAGGAGGAACACCGGUGGCGAAAGGCGGCUACCUGGACAGAAACUGACGCUGAGGCGCG
RNAcentral lists this ribosomal RNA (599 nucleotides) under uncultured bacterium. RNAcentral describes it as "bacterial SSU rRNA". It matches the Rfam family "Bacterial small subunit ribosomal RNA", at positions 151 to 755 of the family's 1533-position model. The record is from RNAcentral.